ACAGGCUUAACACAUGCAAGUCGAGGGGCAGCAUGGUCUUAGCUUGCUAAGGCCGAUGGCGACCGGCGCACGGGUGAGUAACACGUAUCCAACCUGCCGUCUACUCUUGGACAGCCUUCUGAAAGGAAGAUUAAUACAAGAUGGCAUCAUGAGUCCGCAUGUUCACAUGAUUAAAGGUAUUCCGGUAGACGAUGGGGAUGCGUUCCAUUAGAUAGUAGGCGGGGUAACGGCCCACCUAGUCUUCGAUGGAUAGGGGUUCUGAGAGGAAGGUCCCCCACAUUGGAACUGAGACACGGUCCAAACUCCUACGGGAGGCAGCAGUGAGGAAUAUUGGUCAAUGGGCGAGAGCCUGAACCAGCCAAGUAGCGUGAAGGAUGACUGCCCUAUGGGUUGUAAACUUCUUUUAUAAAGGAAUAAAGUCGGGUAUGGAUACCCGUUUGCAUGUACUUUAUGAAUAAGGAUCGGCUAACUCCGUGCCAGCAGCCGCGGUAAUACGGAGGAUCCGAGCGUUAUCCGGAUUUAUUGGGUUUAAAGGGAGCGUAGAUGGAUAUUUAAGUCAGUUGUGAAAGUUUGCGGCUCAACCGUAAAAUUGCAGUUGAUACUGGAUAUCUUGAGUGCAGUUGAGGCAGGCGGAAUUCGUGGUGUAGCGGUGAAAUGCUUAGAUAUCACGAAGAACUCCGAUUGCGAAGGCAGCCUGCUAAGCUGCAACUGACAUUGAGGCUCGAAAGUGUGGGUAUCAAACAGGAUUAGAUACCCUGGUAGUCCACACGGUAAACGAUGAAUACUCGCUGUUUGCGAUAUACUGCAAGCGGCCAAGCGAAAGCGUUAAGUAUUCCAUCUGGGGAGUACGCCGGCAACGGUGAAACUCAAAGGAAUUGACGGGGGCCCGCACAAGCGGAGGAACAUGUGGUUUAAUUCGAUGAUACGCGAGGAACCUUACCCGGGCUUAAAUUGCAGAUGAAUUACGGUGAAAGCCGUAAGCCGCAAGGCAUCUGUGAAGGUGCUGCAUGGUUGUCGUCAGCUCGUGCCGUGAGGUGUCGGCUUAAGUGCCAUAACGAGCGCAACCCUUGUUGUCAGUUACUAACAGGUUCCGCUGAGGACUCUGACAAGACUGCCAUCGUAAGAUGUGAGGAAGGUGGGGAUGACGUCAAAUCAGCACGGCCCUUACGUCCGGGGCUACACACGUGUUACAAUGGGGGGUACAGAGGGCCGCUACCACGCGAGUGGAUGCCAAUCCCAAAAACCUCUCUCAGUUCGGACUGGAGUCUGCAACCCGACUCCACGAAGCUGGAUUCGCUAGUAAUCGCGCAUCAGCCACGGCGCGGUGAAUACGUUCCCGGGCCUUGUACACACCGCCCGUCAAGCCAUGGGAGCCGGGGGUACCUGAAGUGCGUAACCGCGAGGAGCGCCCUAGGGUAAAACUGGUGACUGGG
RNAcentral lists this ribosomal RNA (1433 nucleotides) under uncultured organism. RNAcentral describes it as "SSU rRNA". It matches the Rfam family "Bacterial small subunit ribosomal RNA". The record is from RNAcentral.